CCAGGCUCACUGCUGUCCCGGGAGCCCACUCCCGAUCCUUGGCUUCCGUCUCGCCUUCCCUGAACACCUAGCUUGUACCAGCGUGGCGCUGGGGAAGCAUUUGUGGAGACAGGGCAACGUGUGGAGGUAAAUGCGACGCAAAAUGCUGGGGGGAGCUCUAAGAAGCAGGAAGGGGCAAAAGAGUUAGUUUUCUGGGCUCCUUUCUCUCACUGACCCCAGAUUACUACAGAUUACUGGGGGGUGCCAGUAUGCCCAUUUUACGGAACGACAGAGAGAUCAAAUGGCUUCCCUGGGGCCAUUUAAUGCCAAACGUGGCACACCAAGCUUCUGCCUCAUCCCAGCUCCUCGGGUGAAAAGGCUUACCUCCGCCCAGGAGUGUGGGCAGCGGCUUAACCGUGUAAGUAACGAGUAACCCAAGUGCCCAGGCUGUGCUCUCCUCCAGUCCUGAUGAAGUGGGAAAAGUUGGAGCACCCGGGGCGGGGUCGCGACCUCUUACCGCCUCCUGCCCUCACCUCCUGAGUGAUCUCUUGCAGUCACCAGCGCUAGAGGCUGGCAGUUCCCCCGCGUUCCGCCCCUCCAUAAAAAUAUAUGUAUUUCCAGCCUGAACUUCUCCAAACUCCAACCUCCAGUUUUGUUUAUUCAGCUGCCUACUGGAUAUCUGUCUCCAGCCGAAUGUCUAAAAGAUGCUGAAAUUUAACUUGUUUGAAGCUUUGCCCCCAAACCUGCUCCAUCCAUAGCGUUCCUCUUUCCCCUUUCCAUGAAGAGCAAACCAUUUUUUUCAGGAGGUGCCCAGGUCAAUAACCUUGGAGCCACCCUUGACUCCUCUUACUUUCACACUCCAAAUGGUGCCUACCAGAAAAUGCUUCUGUGUAUAUCCAGAAUCUGACCAUUUCUUAUGGCAUCUGGUACUACUACUUGGGCCUACACCAAUCUCAUCAUUUCUCCCCUGGGUUAUUAUGGCAGCCUCUUAAUCAGUCUCCUUGUUUCUACUUUGCCCCCUGCUAGUGUACUCUUAGAUCCCGGAUCCUGUUCUAGCCAGAGUAAUCCUGUUCUAUCAGAGAACUCAGAACUUCCAGUCACUCCCCACCUUACUGAGGAUCAUAGUUUAAAUCCUUCCGUCUAGGCUCCUGAGUGACCACUCCGCCCCCUCUGACCCUUCUACUCCCUUUCUCCUUGCCCAAGCUCACACCCAUCCAGCCACACUGUGAGUCCCGCCUUAGGGUCUUUGCUGUUCCCUCUGACUGGGCUGUCGGUGCCCCACUCCCAUUAGCAUAGUUUUCUUCCAGUUUUUGCUGAAUACCAUCCUCUGGGUAAAGUUCCUCCCCCCCCCCCUGUUUAGCCUUGUAACCCAAUCCCUGCCUUUUCCUUUUUCUCUGCUUAAUUUUUCUCCCUGGUACCUAACUUUUAUACUCCCAUUUACCUUUGCCCCUCUUGUUGCUUCUGCCCUUCUACAAGAAUGUAAAUAACAUAUAUGAGGGUAAGGAUUUUUAAAAGUUGUAUCUGCAAAUGCAUAGAACAGUGCCUGGCACAUGGAAGGCACUCAAUAAAUAUUUGUUUAUGAGUGAACCCACAAUAAAAUGGGAGGAAGGGAGUAGCUCCACCAUAUACUAGCUCUAUGAUCUUGGGCAAGUUAUUUAACUCCAUUUUCUCAUCUGUAAAAUGAUGGUAGAUACUUCCUUAUAGGGUUCCCAAUGUUAUUAAAUAAGUAAAUACACAAAGAACACUAAACACAGAAGAACACAGUAAGUGGUAGUGAUUGUUACUGAUAUGUAAUAUUUAUAGCAUGUAAGCAAGUCAGACUUCUAAGUGAGCAUAUAUAUCAGUAUUCUACCUUACUGACAUUUAGAAGUUUUCCUAUUUGUAGUGGUGCUAUGUAAAUUAGAAUGUAGCAUCCUGAAAUCAUUUGUUAUGGGUAUUUCUUUGUAUAGUGCCUUGGAAGUGUGUGGUCACUGUUAGCUGCUGACAGCUGAGGGAGAAACGUCCAUCUUUUGCUUAGUUUGCAUCAGCAUCAUCACGUACCAUCCCGGUCAUCUUCCAUGGAAAGGAGGAAGGGGAAAUUCGAUUCCUUGAGAGAAUGUGAGUUAUCCCCUUUUAUGAUUCUAUUAUGGAAAUUCUUCUGAAGGUGUAAAAGGAUAGGCUGCCGCGCGUAUGGGGUGGAAUGGAGGAAGAGGCACUUGACUAGAACCGUGCUUCCCUUCAGGUCCCUAACCUGUUUCCUUAGGCAGAUCUCCCAAGGGAGGGCUCACUGGUGGGGGUUGGAGGGUGGAUGAUAGGAUUUAGUAAGGGAAAUUGGCCGGUAGGUCCAUCCUGCUCUUACUUCUCUCUGGCUGGCCCAGCUUCUCCAGUGGCUCCUCCCUCCCUUUGCUCCAGCAGCUGUCCACUCUGUUUAGACUGGCACCUAUGCCUCUUCUCGCUAUGAGACACGCUGUGUUUGCUGUGUAACUCCCCCCCACCUCCUCCACCCAAGUGAGCUCCAAGGGGACAGCACUUGUUGUCUCUUAACAUUCCCUGCUUUCUUUCUUGUUCCUAGGACAGGUCCUGGCACACAGGGGCACUGUCAAUAAAUUCUUGUUGAUUGAAUGAGCUCUCCUACAAAGCUUAUUUAAUUCCACCUAGCAGCCCCUGACAUUAAUUGAACCAGUCCUUAUGCCAGAACACUUUAAAUGCAUUAUCUCAUAUUAUUCUCACAACAGAACUCAGGUUGGUGCUGUUAGAAUUCCCAUUUUACAAAGAGAGAAAGUGAAGACCAGUGAGGUUAAGUAACUUGCCCAGGGUCACGCAGCAGCUGAUAAAUAGGGGAGCUAAUGACAGAAACCACACAGUCUGGGUCCGGGACCUGAGUCCCAACCAUCUUUGGUUAGAAGAUGAAGAGGACUGAUCGCAGCAUCAGGUUCAAUAAGCCUGGAACCGGAGAGGUCUUAAGGUUGAAAGGAGGAGGCCAGAGGUCGCCGCCAUCAAAAUCGUCCCUUCCGAGCUUCUGUGGCUGCUGGGUGGGUCCUGAGGCUUCACAUGCGACCAUCAGUGUGCCCAGGAGGUUAAGCAGAGAAGCCUCUUCAAAAAUGCCCUCCCUUCAAAGUACCUGCUGGUGGCCAAACAUCUCUACUUUUCCGCGUGGGAAUAAGGGGCCAGUGGGAUGUAGAUGAGCCACCAAAGGCCCGACAGAUUGAGCCCUGAGCUGUCAAGGGUUUCCCCCGGCCAGGGGCUCCGCCACCUUCCGAUCCCCUUGGAAGACCCCGAAG
This 3239-nucleotide long non-coding RNA is filed under the name Lynx pardinus (Iberian lynx). The record is from RNAcentral. Lineage: Eukaryota; Metazoa; Chordata; Mammalia; Carnivora; Felidae.